UAGCUUGCUAGAGAAACGGUUAGUGGCAGACGGGUGAGUAACGCGUGGGAAUUUACCCAAUAGUAUGGGACAACAGUUGGAAACGACUGCUAAUACCGUAUACGAUCUAAGGAUGAAAGGAUUUAUUCGCUAUUGGAUAAGCCCGCGUUGGAUUAGUUUGUUGGUGGGGUAAUGGCCUACCAAGACUACGAUCUAUAGCUGGUUCGAGAGGAUGAACAGCCACACUGGAACUGAGACACGGUCCAGACUCC
Molecule: ribosomal RNA, 251 nt
Filed under: uncultured bacterium
Lineage: Bacteria
Description: partial 16S ribosomal RNA
Rfam family: Bacterial small subunit ribosomal RNA
Source: RNAcentral